AUUGAACGCUGGCGGCAUGCUUUACACAUGCAAGUCGAACGGUAACAGGCCUUCGGGUGCUGACGAGUGGCGAACGGGUGAGUAAUGCAUCGGAACGUACCCAGAGGUGGGGGAUAACGCAGCGAAAGCUGUGCUAAUACCGCAUGUGUUCUGAGGAUGAAAGCGGGGGACCGAGCAGCAAUGUUUGGCCUCGCGCCUUUGGAGCGGCCGAUGUCGGAUUAGCUAGUUGGUGGGGUAAAGGCCUACCAAGGCGACGAGCCGUAGCUGGUCUGAGAGGACGACCAGCCACACUAGAACUGAGACACGGCCCAGACUCCUACGGGAGGCAGCAGUGGGGAAUUUUGGCCAAUAGGCGCAAGCCUGAUACAGCAAUGCCGCGUGCGGGAAGAAGGCCUUCGGGUUGUAAACCGCUUUUGGCAGGAACGAAACGGUGUCCGCUAAUACCGGGCGCUAAUGACGGUACCUGCAGAAUAAGCACGGGCUAACUACGUG
RNAcentral lists this ribosomal RNA (492 nucleotides) under uncultured bacterium. Its description in RNAcentral is "partial 16S ribosomal RNA". It matches the Rfam family "Bacterial small subunit ribosomal RNA", at positions 29 to 507 of the family's 1533-position model. The record is from RNAcentral.